RNAcentral lists this ribosomal RNA (253 nucleotides) under uncultured bacterium. RNAcentral describes it as "partial 16S ribosomal RNA". It matches the Rfam family "Bacterial small subunit ribosomal RNA", at positions 524 to 776 of the family's 1533-position model. The record is from RNAcentral.
GACAGAGGGUGCAAACGUUGUUCGGAAUUACUGGGCGUAAAGGGCUCGUAGGCGGCCAACUAAGUCGGACGUGAAAUCCCCGGGCUCAACCCGGGAACUGCGUCCGAUACUGGCAGGCUUGAAUUCGGGAGAGGGAUGUGGAAUUCCAGGUGUAGCGGUGAAAUGCGUAGAUAUCUGGAGGAACACCGGUGGCGAAGGCGGCAUCCUGGACCGAUAUUGACGCUGAUGCGCGAAAGCCAGGGGAGCAAACGGG